AUUUUAGUGAGCCCUCUUUACUACCUGAUUGGUCUGGUGUGAGCUGAGUUACCAGCCCUGUGUUUAAAGUAUAUUAAGACUUUCGUUCCAUAUGGGAAAGAUGGGAGAUAGAUCUGGAAGGAUUUCUGCAGUGCUGGUGCCUCCUACCUGAGUCUACACCACAUGGGAAUGGUUUCUAAGGAUUCUCCCUGAUCUUCCAUGUGAGCACCUGGCGGGGUUCCAGGAGGAACAGCCUGAAAGUGCAAGACUAAGAAAUUCCUUUUUGUCUCUGGUCAGCUGGAGUUUAACACUCUCAUGCUAGCUCAUACUUAGCAUAUUGCAACUCAUUUAUACUUUCCAGUUGAAUCUACUAACUAGAUGUUAUGACAUUGAAAGGUGUCUAUCCAAGAUAAGCAAAGGUCUAGAUUCUAUCUCCCUCCUCAAGGACAUACAUUUUCUCAGAUUUUAGGUUAAGUUGCUUGACCUUCAGUUCUCUGAUGGUUUCAAGAAAAGUCAUUAAUUUGUAGUUGUAUAGCUUUUUUUAUCUUGCUCUAAGGGUGGGAGCAACACUCCAGUUCUUUCCAAAUCUGAUUGGAAAGCUGAAAAGUGGUUCUGUUAGAGGCAUUUAAACCAGAGCAACUCCAUCUUAAACAGGAACUGGGUAAAAUGAGGCUGAAACCUACUGGGCUGCAUUCCCGGACGGUUAAGGCAUUCUAAGUCACAGGAUGAGAUAGGAGGUCAGCACAAAAUAUAGGUCACAAAGACCUUGCUGAUAAAACAGAUUGCAGUAAAGGAGCCUGUCAAAACCCACCAAAACCAAAAUGGCCAUGAGAGUGACCUCUGGCCGUCCUUAUUGCUACACUCCCACCAGCACCAUGACAGUUUACAAAUGCCAUGGCAAUGCCAGGAAGUUACUCUAGAUGGUCUAAAAAGGGGAGGCAUGAAUAAUCCACCCCUUGUUUAACAUAUCAUCAAAAAAUAACCAUAAACAUGGGCAACCAGCGGCCCUCAGGGCUGCUCAGUCUACGGAGUAGCCAUUCUUUUUUUCCUUUACUUUCUAAAUAAGCUUGCUUUCACUUUGCACUGCAGACUUGCCCUGAAUUCUUUCUUGGGAGAAAUCCAAGAACCCUCUCUUGCGGUCUGGAUAGGGACCCCUUUCUGGUAACAGUUCCACUUUCAGAUCAGCAUUUUAAAAGGCUAUAAUGAGGGAUGUUCUUAUCCUUAGAAAAAGAUUUUUAAAAAGCUAUAGGAACUAUACAAAGGAUUAUAAAGCAAAAAUAUAAAAACAUGUAAUCUGUCUGCUAUCUCUUCCCAAAGACAUCUCCUUAAUACUUUGCAAGUUAAAUAAAAUAAUCAGAAGAGUUAUUCUUUUUUGUUUUACAUAAAAUUCUAAAAUUUAAAUGACCAACUUGAAGAAAAUUUUAUGGAAAAUUCUAUUAAAUUG
RNAcentral lists this long non-coding RNA (1423 nucleotides) under Homo sapiens (human). Its description in RNAcentral is "HSALNT0085785". The record is from RNAcentral. Lineage: Eukaryota; Metazoa; Chordata; Mammalia; Primates; Hominidae.